UACGUAGGGUGCAAGCGUUGUCCGGAAUCAUUGGGCGUAAAGCGCGCGUAGGUGGCUUCGUAAGUCCGUUGUGAAAGUCAAAGGCUCAACCUUUGAAUGCCGAUGGAUACUGCGAAGCUAGAGUACGGAAGAGGCGAGUGGAAUUCCUGGUGUAGCGGUGGAAUGCGCAGAUAUCAGGAGGAACACCGGUGGCGAAGGCGGUUCUCUGGGCCUUACCUGACACUGAGGAGCGAAAGCGUGGGGAGCGAACAGG
This 253-nucleotide ribosomal RNA is filed under the name uncultured bacterium. Its description in RNAcentral is "partial 16S ribosomal RNA". It matches the Rfam family "Bacterial small subunit ribosomal RNA", at positions 524 to 776 of the family's 1533-position model. The record is from RNAcentral.